CCUACGGGUGGCAGCAGUGAGGAAUAUUGGUCAAUGGCCGGAAGCCUGAACCAGCCAAGCCGCGUGAAGGACGACGGUGCUACGUAUUGUAAACUUCUUUUGUCAGGGAACAAAUGCAGGCACGUGUCCCUGUCUGAGUGUACUUGAAGAAAAAGCAUCGGCUAACUCCGUGCCAGCAGCCGCGGUAAUACGGAGGAUGCGAGCGUUAUCCGGAUUUAUUGGGUUUAAAGGGUGCGCAGGCGGUCGGUUAAGUCAGCGGUCAAAGCCCGGGGCUCAACCCCGGCGAGCCGUUGAAACUGGCAGUCUUGAGAUGGCGAGAGGUAUGCGGAAUGCGCGGUGUAGCGGUGAAAUGCAUAGAUA
This 360-nucleotide ribosomal RNA is filed under the name uncultured bacterium. RNAcentral's name for it is "partial 16S ribosomal RNA". It matches the Rfam family "Bacterial small subunit ribosomal RNA", at positions 338 to 696 of the family's 1533-position model. The record is from RNAcentral.